RNAcentral lists this long non-coding RNA (2422 nucleotides) under Macaca fascicularis (crab-eating macaque). RNAcentral describes it as "lncRNA (ENSMFAG00000062347.1)". The record is from RNAcentral. Lineage: Eukaryota; Metazoa; Chordata; Mammalia; Primates; Cercopithecidae.
UAUAGAGUGAAGUGAAUAGAAAAAAUAUCAUAUAUAACCAUGGCUAAUUUUAGGAAGUAAAUAGUGUUUCAUAAUAAGAGUCAUCCUAAACAUUUUUCUGCCUAAUUUUCUGACCCAGUGUUAAAAAUUUUUAUUUGCUUUAGUGCAAGCUUGUUCAACCCACAGGCCACAUGCAGCCCAGGAUGUUUUUGAAGGCGGCCCCAACACAAAUUUGUAAACUUUCUUAAAACAUGAGAUUUUAUGUGAUUUUUUUUUUAAUUUUUAUUUUAGCUCAUCAGCUAUCAUUAGUGUUGGUGUAUUUUAUGUGUGGCCCAAGACAGUUCUUCCAGUGUGGCCCAGGGAAGCCACAAGAUUGGAGACCCCUGCUAGUGUUUAAUGCUUAUAUAUGUAUUUACUUGUAAAUAUGUUGUUUCUUUGAUAGGAUAUGAUUUCAACAUAAUUACUGUUUAUUUAAAAUAAGAAAAAUAAAUAACUUUCAACCAUUAAGAGGUUAUAAGACCUUAAAGGGAAAGUUUCUUUAAUAGGGUAUAAUUUCAAAAUAAUUGCUUUUUAUUUAAGAAAAAUCAGUAACCUUCAACCAGUAACAGGUUAAAGAAUUUAAAGGUAAAAGACAUUUCAACUAAUUACAAAUACUUUGGUUUUUUUUAGUUGGGCAACAUUCUACCACUCUAGGAAUAGCUGUUAAUUAUUUUUUAUAUAGGGUAUUUUUGUGUAUUUAAUGUUGACAACUGACGUUUCCAAUAUAUAAAAACUUGUGUAACUGAGAAAAUUAUAAUGAAAAUAGAGAUUGAGGAUAUAUUUUUAACAUAUAUCCAUGAGUCAACACUAAUAUUUAAUAUUUGAGAUUUGAAAAAUUAUUUCUAGGGUGAGAAAUUUUGUCACAAUAUAAUAUCUGUAUAUUGUGCCUUUUUAAGAGAGAAAUUUUUGAUGAAUUUAAUGUUAAUUAAAUUUUAUCUCAGCCUAUCACCAUCAGACCAAAAGAAGAUACAGUAUUUUUCUAACAAGGAAAAGAAAAUACAUACAUAUGUAUUUAUAUAUACAAAUGUAUAUGUGUGUAUAUACAUAUAAUUUCUUUUUUUUUAUAUAAGAAUCGAGACAGGGUGUCACUAUGAUGUGUGGGCUGGUCUCGAACACCUGCCUCAAGUGAUCCUCCCACCUUGGCCUCCCAAAGUGCUAGAAUUCACCAUGAGCCACUGUGCCAGUUUCCAACAAGAAAAAUAUUAAAUGUAUUGGUUUUUCACAGUGAAACUUAAUUCAGCUUAGGUGAACCAUAUAUGUGUGUAUAUGGCAUAUACAAGAUGAAAAAGGGAGGAAAAGUAAUAACGAUGGUUGCCAUCAAUCAUUGAACACCUGUAAUGUUUUAGUCAUUAUACUAGCUGACUUACAAAUAUUGUCUCAUUUGAUGCUACGUUUAUAUUUCUAUGAGGUAGAUACUGAUUUCUAUUUGACUGCUCAAGAAACUGAAGGGCAGGCAGGUCAGGUGAUUUGCCCAAAGUCCACACUGUCACUAAAUGAACAUAGAUUGGUAUGACUCCCAAGCCUGUGAGUUUUUGACCAUCAUAUUCUGCCUCACCAUGAGAAGUUUUUUUUAACUAAUUUUUUUAAUUAAACGAAGCAGUAUAUGGAAAGAGAGGUGAUAAUCCAUGUUUGCUCUCUGCAGUUUCCAGACCAUUCAUGGCUUAUUUUUAUGCUGGAUAUAGUCAUUUUUUUAAAUGCUACAAACUGUUCAAAAGAGCAUGAACAACAUGAUAACUCCUUAUAAUUUUGUUGUAAGAAAAAUGGCUAAAAGUAUGUGGGAUGUUUAAUUUGGAUAAGUGGAGAUUCUAUCACUUGAUAAGCUCUCUUGAAGAAUAAUUAUUUGAAAGAUUGAACUUAAUUCUGUAUUGCCUGAACUGUAAAUCAGAGGUCAACAAUUAGAUUGCAAAUCAUGAAAAGCAUACCUUUUCUAAUUGUUUAGUGUUUUUAGGAAAACAAGCCCAGAAAAAAAGUAAAAUUCUCAUUCAUUGGAGAUAAGAUUUUUAUUUAUUAAAGAUGCUUCAGGAGAGUUAGAUAGCAAGUAGGUAAAAUGUCUUUUGAAGAUAUCUGACAUCUUUAAAGCUCUGUGAUUUUUAAAUUCUUAAUUUUGUUACAGCUAAUUUUUAAAAAUUCAUUGCUGUGUCAUGGUCAAGUAUUUCUGAUGACUUACUGCUGUCUUUGGUAUAUUUUAAGUUUCUAAACCAAAACUACUAUUUAUAUUACCCUGUUUUAGAAAAACAUUUGAGUUAUACAACUUAGUAAAAGGUAUUUUAGCGAUGAUGUUUUGGAGCACUGGUAAUAUAGUAUUUAACUUAUUUUCUAUUUUUUAUCCCUCUACAUUAGUGAAAGUAAUGUACUUCUAUUUGAAAAGCUUUCCCCCAGUGAUUAAAAAAAAAAAAAAAAAAAA